UUGUUGGUAAGGUAAAAGCUUACCAAGGCUUCGAUCAGUAGCUGGUCUGAGAGGACGACCAGCCACACUGGGACUGAGACACGGCCCAGACUCCUACGGGAGGCAGCAGUGGGGAAUUUUGGACAAUGGGGGCAACCCUGAUCCAGCCAUGCCGCGUGAGUGAAGAAGGCCUUCGGGUUGUAAAGCUCUUUCAGCCGGAACGAAACGGUUACGGUUAACACCCGUGACUACUGACGGUACCGGAAGAAGAAGCACCGGCUAACUACGUGCCAGCAGCCGCGGUAAUACGUAGGGUGCGAGCGUUAAUCGGAAUUACUGGGCGUAAAGCGUGCGCAGGUGGUUUUGUAAGUCAGAUGUGAAAGCCCCGGGCUCAACCUGGGAACUGCGUUUGAAACUACAAGACUAGAGUGUGGCAGAGGGGGGUGGAAUUCCGCGUGUAGCAGUGAAAUGCGUAGAGAUGUGGAGGAACACCGAUGGCGAAGGCAGCCCCCUGGGUCAACACUGACGCUCAGGCACGAAAGCAUGGGGAGCAAACAGGAUUAGAUACCCUGGUAGUCCAUGCCCUAAACGAUGUCAACUAGUUGUCGGGCCUUUACGGGCUUGGUAACGUAGCUAACGCGUGAAGUYGACCGCCUGGGGAGUACGAUCGCAAGAUUAAAACUCAAAUGAAUUGACGGGGACCCGCACAAGCGGUGGAUUAUGUGGAUUAAUUCGAUGCAACGCGAAAAACCUUACCUACCCUUGACAUGUAUCGAAGCCCGCAGAAAAGCGGGGGUGCCCGAAAGGGAACGAUAACACAGGUGCUGCAUGGCUGUCGUCAGCUCGUGUCGUGAGAUGUUGGGUUAAGUCCCGCAACGAGCGCAACCCUUGUCAUUAAUUGCCAUCAUUUAGUUGGGCACUUUAAUGAGACUGCCGG
RNAcentral lists this ribosomal RNA (916 nucleotides) under uncultured bacterium. RNAcentral's name for it is "bacterial SSU rRNA". It matches the Rfam family "Bacterial small subunit ribosomal RNA", at positions 246 to 1155 of the family's 1533-position model. The record is from RNAcentral.